UUAAGGCUUGGAAUGGACCUUAAAGAUCAUGUAGUCCCGACAUCCCCUGCCAUAGGCAGGGAAUACCUCCCUCUAGACCAGGCCAUUCAAGGCUUUAUCCAACCUGGCUUUGAACGCUGCUUCAUUCCAGUACAGCUCUUUUCGUAAAGCCAGGAAAUGAUGGAGUGAGACUAGGGGAGAAAGCUGAUGUAGAUGUAGAAAGCUAAGUGGAGCCUGGCAGUUCUUUAAAAGUUGAUUAGCUAAGCUGAAAGGCCACUUCUUUACUCAUUCCAUGGAGGAAAGCAGCACUGGCGCAGAGCCCGUUGGCCAGAGCAAGGCAGUCACUUAAAAGCCACAUGGAGCAAAUGGUGGAGAAAAGCCAAGAGGGAAACACUCCAUUUGCUCAGAAACAACAGAAUGUGGAGAGCUGGAACAGGAAGCUGGGGCAGCCAGGCAAAAGGUUACCCAGGGUAACCAGUGCUAAAAGGUCUGAAGUAAUAAUUUAUAGCACACUUCAAUGGUAGCUGUUAGAACAAGGUUACUUCCAGGGUGAAAGGAAGCACCAAAGCCCACAAGGCAUGCUGGAGUGUCCAGUGCUGAACAAAGACAAUGACGUUUUAAAAUCUGUGAACCUUUGGCCACGGUGCAUCGCUGACAUUUGUAAGGGUAAGGUCACACAUCUCGACAAAAUUAAGCGCCCACAGCCUUCGUCACCCUGAUUCGCGGUUCCGCUGUAAAAGGGCUCUAUUCCCCCUCUAUAUCAGAGGUGGAAAUUUCCACGCCUAUUUCUCCGACCCCCUGGAGCAAAGCUUGACUGAGGAACCUGAAGAAGGCAGUGUUUAGGGUCUGGCCAGAUGGAUGCAGCGCAGGAAACAAAGCACGGCAGGAAGGUGGCAGAGUUGCUCCGAUUAACCAGAGGGCUACCGGCUUUCGCACUCUCUGAACACGGAAGAACAUUUACUGAAUGGGAAAAAAGGUUAACCUCGGUUUCUUGCAGGGCUGGAUGAAAAAUCAGCCCUUGCGUCGAG
RNAcentral lists this long non-coding RNA (1007 nucleotides) under Taeniopygia guttata (zebra finch). Its description in RNAcentral is "lncRNA (ENSTGUG00000022159.1)". Lineage: Eukaryota; Metazoa; Chordata; Aves; Passeriformes; Estrildidae. The record is from RNAcentral.